RNAcentral lists this ribosomal RNA (1196 nucleotides) under uncultured bacterium. RNAcentral describes it as "bacterial SSU rRNA". It matches the Rfam family "Bacterial small subunit ribosomal RNA", at positions 322 to 1484 of the family's 1533-position model. The record is from RNAcentral.
AGGCCACCCUACUCUUCCCUGGGGGUUUGUGAGACCCAAGUGGGGAAUUUUAGGACAAUGGGGGGGAUUCCCUAAUUUCCCCCAAUCCCCGCCUUGUGGAUGAAGACAACACCGGGUUGGACAAGCCCCUCUCGACAGGCAAGGAACGGAGGGGGUGUAAACACCACACCCAUACUGGCUGGUACCUGGCAGACUAAGCCCCCGGCUUUGUUAUUUUCUAUCAGUCCGCGGUAUUCACGCGCGGGCAAGGGGUACUCGGGAGUUUUGGGGGGACUGCGAGAGUAGGGUGGUAGGUUUAAGUUCUUGUGAAAGCCCUUGGGGUAAACUGGGAAUUGCCAGUGGAUAUUUGGUCACUUAGAGAGUGGUAGAGGGGUAAUGGAUUUCUCGUUGCAGCAGAGAAAUGGUAGAGAUCGGGAUGUACAUCCAUGUUGAAGGCAUCCUCCUGGUCCAACGAUGACACUGAGGCAUGAAAGCGUCGUGAACGAACAGGAUUUGCUACCCUGGUUGUCCACGCCCUAAUCGAUGUGAACUGGAUGUUGGGUGCCAUUUGUCACGCAGUAUUGAAGCUAAAGCGUUAAGUUCGCCGCCUGGGGAGUACGGUCGCAAGACUGAAACUCAAUGGAAUUGACGGGGGCCCGCACCAGCGGUGGAGUAUGUGGUUUAAUUAGAUGCAACGCGAAGAACCUUACCUGGUCUUGACAUGUCGAGAACUUUCCAGAGAUGGAUUGGUGCCUUCGGGAACUCGAACACAGGUGCUGCAUGGCUGUCGUCAGCUCGUGUCGUGAGAUGUUGGGUUAAGUCCCGCAACGAACGCAACCCUUGUCCUUAGUUGCCAGCACGUAAUGGUGGGAACUCUAAGGAGACCGCCGGUGACAAACCGGAGGAAGGUGGGGAUGACGUCAAGCCAUCAUGGCCCUUACGACCAGGGCUACACACGUACUACAAUGGUAGGGACAGAGGGCUGCAAACCCGCGAGGGCAAGCCAAUCCCAGAAACCCUAUCUCAGUCCGGAUUGGAGUCUGCAACUCGACUCCAUGAAGUCGGAAUCGCUAGUAAUCGCAGAUCAGCAUUGCUGCGGGGAAUACGUUCCCGGGCCUUGUACACACCGCCCGUCUCACCGAUGGGAGUUUGUUGUACCAGAAGCAGGUAGCUUAACCUUCGGGAGGGCGCUGCCAACGGUUGGCCGAUAAGGGGCA